AGGAAUUAGACCUUCCACUA
Molecule: transfer RNA, 20 nt
Filed under: Blaesodactylus antongilensis
Lineage: Eukaryota; Metazoa; Chordata; Lepidosauria; Squamata; Gekkonidae
Description: partial tRNA-Tyr
Source: RNAcentral